Molecule: transfer RNA, 65 nt
Filed under: Marellia remipes
Lineage: Eukaryota; Metazoa; Arthropoda; Insecta; Orthoptera; Acrididae
Description: tRNA-Arg
Source: RNAcentral
GAAUAAGAAGCGAAUAAUUGCAAACAGUUUCGACCUGUUAAAUUGGUAAUAUUUACCCUUAUUUU